AUUGAACGCUGGCGGCAGGCUUAACACAUGCAAGUCGAGCGGGGUGAUGGUGCUUGCACUAUCACUUAGCGGCGGACGGGCGAGUAAUGCUUAGGAAUCUGCCUAUUAGUGGGGGACAACAUCUCGAAAGGGAUGCUAAUACCGCAUACGUCCUACGGGAGAAAGCAGGGGAUCACUUGUGACCUUGCGCUAAUAGAUGAACCUAAGUCGGAUUAGCUAGUUGGUGGGGUAAAGGCCUACCAAGGCGACGAUCUGUAGCGGGUCUGAGAGGAUGAUCCGCCACACUGGGACUGAAACACGGCCCAGACUCCUACGGGAGGCAGCAGUGGGGAAUAUUGGACAAUGGGGGGAACCCUGAUCCAGCCAUGCCGCGUGUGUGAAGAAGGCCUUAUGGUUGUAAAGCACUUUAGGCGAGGAGGAGGCUUACCUAGUUAAUACCUGGGAUAAGUGGACGUUACUCGCAGAAUAAGCACCGGCUAACUCUGUGCCAGCCGCCGCCGUAA
Molecule: ribosomal RNA, 503 nt
Filed under: uncultured bacterium
Lineage: Bacteria
Description: partial 16S ribosomal RNA
Rfam family: Bacterial small subunit ribosomal RNA
Source: RNAcentral